This 732-nucleotide long non-coding RNA is filed under the name Olea europaea subsp. europaea. The record is from RNAcentral. Lineage: Eukaryota; Viridiplantae; Streptophyta; Magnoliopsida; Lamiales; Oleaceae.
UCAUGGCCGUUGAUAUCCUUAGUAUUCUUUUUUAUUGUCUAUCAAAAGCAUUUAAUACCCUGCUUGGUUUAGAUUAAAAGGUUGAUAAAAAUUUUAAGUUGAUAUGAAUUUUUGCUUAAAAUAAAUAAAUAACCCAUUUCAUUAGAUUCAUAACUUCCCAACAAUUCAUUUCGUCAAUUUUUAUCAAAAUUUACAAAAUCUAAUUUCAAUUAGACGAAAGAUGGGUUAAAUUCCCACAAAUCACAGGGAACCCAACAAGACCAUCCUGGUGGCCGCGUCCACUUGACACCAAUAUACUUCUACAAUGCUAGCCUCAUUUGCACGUAAUUAUGAUAAGAGUAUAGUAGUAGAUUAUAAAUCGUGAAUCAUAUAAAAUUUGUAGAUAAAAAUAACGUUUGAUAGUUCAUAAAACUUGACAAGCGUUCCUAAACAUGCAUUAAGAUUUCGAGAUUCUAACGUAACAAUACGAUUUCAAUGUCAUUGAUUGCAAUAAUAUUUCAAUGUCAUUUACCUGUUAGAGUGAUCUAAGCGGCGUACUUGAUAACCAAAUGCCUUGGCGUAAAAUGCAACAGAUUUGGCUACAUCUCUAACAUAAACCACUGUGUAUGCAUACCUUGGAUUCAGAUUUGAUGCCAUUUUUCUUCUGGUUUUCUCAGUUAGCUUUCAAUUACAAUGGUCGGAUCUUUAUACGUUGGAUUGGAGAUUUGGAGAUAUAUAGAUUUUACGCGUGGC